GGUCAUCGAGUUCACUCCUCCUCCCAGAACUCGAUACCGGAAUACGGCACUCCUCCUCCCAGCCGUAUUCGAAGAUCAGGCCGCGCAUCCUCCUCCCGCGCGGCCUUUUUC
RNAcentral lists this small RNA (111 nucleotides) under Ochrobactrum sp. P6BSIII. RNAcentral describes it as "ar14". It matches the Rfam family "Alphaproteobacterial ar14". Rfam says of the family: Smr14C2 was renamed NfeR1 (Nodule Formation Efficiency RNA) highly expressed in salt stress and during the symbiotic interaction on legume roots. The record is from RNAcentral. RNAcentral also lists the same sequence under 1 other name. Lineage: Bacteria; Pseudomonadati; Pseudomonadota; Alphaproteobacteria; Hyphomicrobiales; Brucellaceae.